GUUUCUUAUUUAUAUAGUUUAACAAUAAAAAAACAUUACUUUUUCAUUGUAAAAUUAAAUAUUCUAUUUUAUAA
Molecule: transfer RNA, 74 nt
Filed under: Wakarumbia grisea
Lineage: Eukaryota; Metazoa; Arthropoda; Insecta; Coleoptera; Lycidae
Description: tRNA-Glu
Source: RNAcentral